Molecule: unclassified non-coding RNA, 348 nt
Filed under: soil metagenome
Description: partial contains 5.8S ribosomal RNA, internal transcribed spacer 2, and large subunit ribosomal RNA
Rfam family: 5.8S ribosomal RNA (bases 1-120)
Source: RNAcentral
GAUGAAGAACGUAGCGAAAUGCGAUAAGUAGUGUGAAUUGCAGAAUUCAGUGAACCAUCGAAUCUUUGAACGCACAUUGCGCCCGCUGGAACUCCGGCGGGCACGCCUGUCCGAGCGUCAUUUCAACCCUCAGGCCCCCCUUCGCGGGCGGGCCUGGUGUUGGGGCCCGGCCGCUACCCUGCGGCCGUCCCCUAAAUUCAGUGGCGGCCUCGCCGUGAUCCCUUGCGUAGUAAUGCACCUCGCACCGGAGAGCGCCGUGGCCACGCCGUAAAACCCCCAAUUUUCAAUGGUUGACCUCGGAUCAGGUGGGAAUACCCGCUGAACUUAAGCAUAUCAAUAAGCGGAGGA